This 497-nucleotide ribosomal RNA is filed under the name Cystoisospora ohioensis. Its description in RNAcentral is "SSU rRNA". It matches the Rfam family "Eukaryotic small subunit ribosomal RNA", at positions 581 to 1083 of the family's 1831-position model. Lineage: Eukaryota; Apicomplexa; Conoidasida; Eucoccidiorida; Sarcocystidae. The record is from RNAcentral.
AAUUCCAGCUCCAAUAGUGUAUAUUAAAGUUGUUGCAGUUAAAAAGCUCGUAGUUGGAUUUCUGCUGGAAGCAGCCAGUCCGCCCUUAGGGGUGUGUACGUGGUGAAAUUCCGGCAUCCUUCUGGUGGCGCUUCGCACUUAACUGGGUGGAGUGCUUUUCCAGGACUUUUACUUUGAGAAAAUUAGAGUGUUUCAAGCAGGCUUGUUGCCUUGAAUACUGCAGCAUGGAAUAAUAAGAUAGGAUUUCGGCCCUAUUUUGUUGGUUUCUAGGACUGAAGUAAUGAUUAAUAGGGACGGUUGGGGGCAUUCGUAUUUAACUGUCAGAGGUGAAAUUCUUAGAUUUGUUAAAGACGAACUACUGCGAAAGCAUUUGCCAAAGAUGUUUUCAUUAAUCAAGAACGAAAGUUAGGGGCUCGAAGACGAUCAGAUACCGUCGUAGUCUUAACCAUAAACUAUGCCGACUAGAGAUAGGAAAACGCCUACCUUGGCUUCUCCUG